This 540-nucleotide ribosomal RNA is filed under the name uncultured bacterium. RNAcentral describes it as "partial 16S ribosomal RNA". The record is from RNAcentral.
ACUCCUACKGGAGGCAGCGCAGCUUUUUGAGACGGUCUCUUUUUUCACGGGCAGGAACGGUCAGCGGCCGGAGGCACCGCUCUUGCGCAAUGCCUGGCACUUCCCCGCCCGCACGGCCCGCAAGGCCCAGUCUCUGGGGAAAAUGGAAGCCACGGCAAGGCGGCUUGAAACCCUUUACGCCAUCAGGACGGCAACCUCCCCCAUUGUGGUGGUGACUUCGGCCCUGGCGCUCCUCGAAAGCCUCAUGCCGCCUGAAGUUCUGGUCAGCAACGUGGAUUACCGGGUCAGGGGAGAGGAGAUCGAGUUCGACCUAUUCAACCGACAACUCAUCGAGCGCGGUUACUAUCCCGUGGCACUGGUCGAGGAAUACGGCGACCUCAGCCGGCGCGGCGGGGUCCUCGAUAUUUAUGCCCCCCUCUACCGAUGGCCGCUCAGGCUCGAAUUCUUCGGGGAGGAACUGGAAUCCAUCCGUCUCUUCCAUCCCAGCAGUCAACGUUCCCUGGGGGUGCUCGAAGAGGUGGUGCUGCCUCCCGUAGGAGU